This 1506-nucleotide ribosomal RNA is filed under the name metagenome. RNAcentral describes it as "bacterial SSU rRNA". It matches the Rfam family "Bacterial small subunit ribosomal RNA". The record is from RNAcentral.
AGAGUUUGAUCAUGGCUCAGGACGAACGCUGGCGGCGUGCCUAAUACAUGCAAGUAGAACGCUGAAGAGAGGAGCUUGCUCUUCUUGGAUGAGUUGCGAACGGGUGAGUAACGCGUAGGUAACCUGCCUUGUAGCGGGGGAUAACUAUUGGAAACGAUAGCUAAUACCGCAUAACAAUGGAUGACCCAUGUCAUUUAUUUGAAAGGGGCAAAUGCUCCACUACAAGAUGGACCUGCGUUGUAUUAGCUAGUAGGUGAGGUAACGGCUCACCUAGGCGACGAUACAUAGCCGACCUGAGAGGGUGAUCGGCCACACUGGGACUGAGACACGGCCCAGACUCCUACGGGAGGCAGCAGUAGGGAAUCUUCGGCAAUGGGGGCAACCCUGACCGAGCAACGCCGCGUGAGUGAAGAAGGUUUUCGGAUCGUAAAGCUCUGUUGUAAGUCAAGAACGAGUGUGAGAGUGGAAAGUUCACACUGUGACGGUAGCUUACCAGAAAGGGACGGCUAACUACGUGCCAGCAGCCGCGGUAAUACGUAGGUCCCGAGCGUUGUCCGGAUUUAUUGGGCGUAAAGCGAGCGCAGGCGGUUUGAUAAGUCUGAAGUUAAAGGCUGUGGCUCAACCAUAGUUCGCUUUGGAAACUGUCAAACUUGAGUGCAGAAGGGGAGAGUGGAAUUCCAUGUGUAGCGGUGAAAUGCGUAGAUAUAUGGAGGAACACCGGUGGCGAAAGCGGCUCUCUGGUCUGUAACUGACGCUGAGGCUCGAAAGCGUGGGGAGCGAACAGGAUUAGAUACCCUGGUAGUCCACGCCGUAAACGAUGAGUGCUAGGUGUUGGAUCCUUUCCGGGAUUCAGUGCCGCAGCUAACGCAUUAAGCACUCCGCCUGGGGAGUACGACCGCAAGGUUGAAACUCAAAGGAAUUGACGGGGGCCCGCACAAGCGGUGGAGCAUGUGGUUUAAUUCGAAGCAACGCGAAGAACCUUACCAGGUCUUGACAUCCCGAUGCUAUUUCUAGAGAUAGAAAGUUACUUCGGUACAUCGGUGACAGGUGGUGCAUGGUUGUCGUCAGCUCGUGUCGUGAGAUGUUGGGUUAAGUCCCGCAACGAGCGCAACCCCUAUUGUUAGUUGCCAUCAUUCAGUUGGGCACUCUAGCGAGACUGCCGGUAAUAAACCGGAGGAAGGUGGGGAUGACGUCAAAUCAUCAUGCCCCUUAUGACCUGGGCUACACACGUGCUACAAUGGUUGGUACAACGAGUUGCGAGUCGGUGACGGCAAGCUAAUCUCUUAAAGCCAAUCUCAGUUCGGAUUGUAGGCUGCAGCUCGCCUACAUGAAGUCGGAAUCGCUAGUAAUCGCGGAUCAGCACGCCGCGGUGAAUACGUUCCCGGGCCUUGUACACACCGCCCGUCACACCACGAGAGUUUGUAACACCCGAAGUCGGUGAGGUAACCUUUUGGAGCCAGCCGCCUAAGGUGGGAUAGAUGAUUGGGGUGAAGUCGUAACAAGGUA